This 487-nucleotide ribosomal RNA is filed under the name uncultured bacterium. RNAcentral's name for it is "bacterial SSU rRNA". It matches the Rfam family "Bacterial small subunit ribosomal RNA", at positions 37 to 518 of the family's 1533-position model. The record is from RNAcentral.
UAGCGACAGGCCUAACACAUGCAAGUCGAGGGGCAGCACAAGGAGCAAUCUGAGGUGGCGACCGGCGCACGGGUGAGUAACACGUAUGCAACCUGCCUGUAAGCGGGGAAUAACCCGUCGAAAGACGGACUAAUACCGCAUAAUACUAAAUUACUGCAUGGUAAUUUAUUUAAACAUUUAUGGCUUACAGAUGGGCAUGCGCAUGAUUAGCUAGUUGGAGAGGUAACGGCUCCCCAAGGCAACGAUCAUUAGGGGUUCUGAGAGGAAGGUCCCCCACACUGGUACUGAGACACGGACCAGACUCCUACGGGAGGCAGCAGUGAGGAAUAUUGGUCAAUGGACGAGAGUCUGAACCAGCCAAGUCGCGUGCAGGAAGAAUGUCCCUAUGGAUUGUAAACUGCUUUUGCAGGGGAAUAAAGUGCAUCACGUGUGAUGUUUUGUAUGUACUCUGCGAAUAAGGAUCGGCUAACUCCGUGCCAGCCGCCGC